RNAcentral lists this non-coding RNA (24 nucleotides) under Arabidopsis thaliana (thale cress). The record is from RNAcentral. Lineage: Eukaryota; Viridiplantae; Streptophyta; Magnoliopsida; Brassicales; Brassicaceae.
GAAGAUUAUGACCGCACUCCAAGA